RNAcentral lists this ribosomal RNA (720 nucleotides) under uncultured Lachnospiraceae bacterium. RNAcentral's name for it is "bacterial SSU rRNA". It matches the Rfam family "Bacterial small subunit ribosomal RNA", at positions 28 to 746 of the family's 1533-position model. Lineage: Bacteria; Bacillati; Bacillota; Clostridia; Lachnospirales; Lachnospiraceae. The record is from RNAcentral.
GAUGAACGCUGGCGGCGUGCUUAACACAUGCAAGUCGAACGAAGCGAUGGAGAACGGAGAUUUCGGUUGAAGUUUUCUAUUGACUGAGUGGCGGACGGGUGAGUAACGCGUGGGUAACCUGCCCUAUACAGGGGGAUAACAGUUAGAAAUGACUGCUAAUACCGCAUAAGCGCACAGCUUCGCAUGAAGCGGUGUGAAAAACUGAGGUGGUAUAGGAUGGACCCGCGUUGGAUUAGCUAGUUGGUGAGGUAACGGCCCACCAAGGCGACGAUCCAUAGCCGGCCUGAGAGGGUGAACGGCCACAUUGGGACUGAGACACGGCCCAAACUCCUACGGGAGGCAGCAGUGGGGAAUAUUGCACAAUGGGGGAAACCCUGAUGCAGCGACGCCGCGUGAAGGAAGAAGUAUCUCGGUAUGUAAACUUCUAUCAGCAGGGAAGAAAGUGACGGUACCUGACUAAGAAGCCCCGGCUAAUUACGUGCCAGCAGCCGCGGUAAUACGUAAGGGGCAAGCGUUAUCCGGAUUUACUGGGUGUAAAGGGAGCGUAGACGGUUUGGCAAGUCUGAUGUGAAAGGCAUGGGCUCAACCUGUGGACUGCAUUGGAAACUGUCAGACUUGAGUGCCGGAGAGGCAAGCGGAAUUCCUAGUGUAGCGGUGAAAUGCGUAGAUAUUAGGAGGAACACCAGUGGCGAAGGCGGCCUGCUGGACGGUAACUGACGU